GAUGAACGCUGGCGGCGUGCCUAAUACAUGCAAGUCGAGCGAACAGACGAGGAGCUUGCUCCUCUGACGUUAGCGGCGGACGGGUGAGUAACACGUGGAUAACCUACCUAUAAGACUGGGAUAACUUCGGGAAACCGGAGCUAAUACCGGAUAAUAUAUUGAACCGCAUGGUUCAAUAGUGAAAGACGGUUUUGCUGUCACUUCUAGAUGGAUCCGCGCCGCAUUAGCUAGUUGGUAAGGUAACGGCUUACCAAGGCAACGAUGCGUAGCCGACCUGAGGGGGUGAUCGGCCACACUGGAACUGAGACACGGUCCAGACUCCUACGGGAGGCAGCAGUAGGGAAUCUUCCGCAAUGGGCGAAAGCCUGACGGAGCAACGCCGCGUGAGUGAUGAAGGUCUUCGGAUCGUAAAACUCUGUUAUUAGGGAAGAACAAAUGUGUAAGUAACUAUGCACGUCUUGACGGUACCUAAUCAGAAAGCCACGGCUAACUACGUG
This 497-nucleotide ribosomal RNA is filed under the name uncultured bacterium. RNAcentral's name for it is "partial 16S ribosomal RNA". It matches the Rfam family "Bacterial small subunit ribosomal RNA", at positions 28 to 507 of the family's 1533-position model. The record is from RNAcentral.